Molecule: non-coding RNA, 27 nt
Filed under: Mus musculus (house mouse)
Lineage: Eukaryota; Metazoa; Chordata; Mammalia; Rodentia; Muridae
Source: RNAcentral
UGCUGUGCUGGUUGGUUUUGUCAAAUU